RNAcentral lists this ribosomal RNA (255 nucleotides) under uncultured bacterium. Its description in RNAcentral is "partial 16S ribosomal RNA". It matches the Rfam family "Bacterial small subunit ribosomal RNA", at positions 524 to 776 of the family's 1533-position model. The record is from RNAcentral.
CACGUAGGGUGCGAGCGUUGUCCGGAAUUAUUGGGCGUAAAGAGCUCGUAGGCGGUGUGUCGCGUCGGCCGUGAAAACCUGCAGCUUAACUGUGGGCGUGCGGUCGAUACGGGCAUCACUGGAGUUCGGCAGGGGAGACUGGAAUUCCUGGUGUAGCGGUGAAAUGCGCAGAUAUCAGGAGGAACACCGAUGGCGAAGGCAGGUCUCUGGGCAUUAACUGACGCUGAGGAGCGGAAAGCAUGGGGAGCGAACAGG